Molecule: ribosomal RNA, 773 nt
Filed under: Lactobacillus delbrueckii subsp. bulgaricus
Lineage: Bacteria; Bacillati; Bacillota; Bacilli; Lactobacillales; Lactobacillaceae
Description: bacterial SSU rRNA
Rfam family: Bacterial small subunit ribosomal RNA
Source: RNAcentral
CGGCGGAUGGGUGAGUAACACGUGAGGCAAUCUGCCCUAAAGACUGGGAUACCACUUGGAAACAGGUGCUAAUACCGGAUAACAACAUGAAUCGCAUGAUUCAAGUUUGAAAGGCGGCGCAAGCUGUCACUUUAGGAUGAGCCCGCGGCGCAUUAGCUAGUUGGUGGGGUAAAGGCCUACCAAGGCAAUGAUGCGUAGCCGAGUUGAGAGACUGAUCGGCCACAUUGGGACUGAGACACGGCCCAAACUCCUACGGGAGGCAGCAGUAGGGAAUCUUCCACAAUGGACGCAAGUCUGAUGGAGCAACGCCGCGUGAGUGAAGAAGGUCUUCGGAUCGUAAAGCUCUGUUGUUGGUGAAGAAGGAUAGAGGCAGUAACUGGUCUUUAUUUGACGGUAAUCAACCAGAAAGUCACGGCUAACUACGUGCCAGCAGCCGCGGUAAUACGUAGGUGGCAAGCGUUGUCCGGAUUUAUUGGGCGUAAAGCGAGCGCAGGCGGAAUGAUAAGUCUGAUGUGAAAGCCCACGGCUCAACCGUGGAACUGCAUCGGAAACUGUCAUUCUUGAGUGCAGAAGAGGAGAGUGGAACUCCAUGUGUAGCGGUGGAAUGCGUAGAUAUAUGGAAGAACACCAGUGGCGAAGGCGGCUCUCUGGUCUGCAACUGACGCUGAGGCUCGAAAGCAUGGGUAGCGAACAGGAUUAGAUACCCUGGUAGUCCAUGCCGUAACGAUGAGCGCUAGGUGUUGGGGGACUUUCCGGUCCUCAGUGCCGCAGCA